UUAAGCCUCUGAGCUCAGGGAUGCAGAGGCAUUGAGUUACUACCAAGGGCCUGAUCUUUUCUUUAGCAGGCAUCUGUGUUAAUUGUUUCGAAAGGUGGUGAUCAGUUUUACAGCCUAUUAUAAAGGAGAUUUUUGCCUACUAUAAAACUAAUCCCCCUGAAAGAGUGAGUAAACAUAACUUUUUGUGUGUUGACUUCCACAAGGGAAGGAGUUGGCACUUACACUCUGACUUUUGAUUCAGUCGUCCUUCUUGAGCCAUUUUUGCAGGGGAUCAGUUUGGAGUGGGCGUUAACAAUGUUAUUUUUUUUUUUCUUCUCCAGAACACCUUCCACCAUGACCACCUCAGCAAGUUCCCACUUAAAUAAAGGCAUCAAGCAGGUGUACAUGUCCCUGCCUCAGGGUGAGAAAGUCCAGGCCAUGUAUAUCUGGAUCGAUGGUACUGGAGAAGGCCUGCGCUGCAAGACCCGGACUCUGGACAGUGAGCCCAAGUGUGUGGAAGAGUUGCCUGAGUGGAAUUUCGAUGGCUCUAGUACUUUACAGUCUGAGGGUUCCAACAGUGACAUGUAUCUCGUGCCUGCUGCCAUGUUUCGGGACCCCUUCCGUAAGGACCCUAACAAGCUGGUGUUAUGUGAAGUUUUCAAGUACAAUCGAAGGCCUGCAGAGACCAAUUUGAGGCACACCUGUAAACGGAUAAUGGACAUGGUGAGCAACCAGCACCCCUGGUUUGGCAUGGAGCAGGAGUAUACCCUCAUGGGGACAGAUGGGCACCCCUUUGGUUGGCCUUCCAACGGCUUCCCAGGGCCCCAGGGUAAGUCUCCUUGGGUUAGAGGUGAAAUUCCCAGAAGUGUCUAACUGUGCAGGAAUGCCCC
Molecule: small RNA, 869 nt
Filed under: Pan troglodytes (chimpanzee)
Lineage: Eukaryota; Metazoa; Chordata; Mammalia; Primates; Hominidae
Description: processed transcript
Source: RNAcentral